GGCACUUUAAGACACUUAAGUUGGUUUAGUGAUCCAGUUUGGGCACUCGGGCUCAAAAAAGGUUUGCCAUUGCUGCCCUAUACAAGGUCUGUGUGUGUGUGU
Molecule: long non-coding RNA, 102 nt
Organism: Nanorana parkeri
Lineage: Eukaryota; Metazoa; Chordata; Amphibia; Anura; Dicroglossidae
Exons: 4
Source: RefSeq, a predicted model, not a curated record